RNAcentral lists this non-coding RNA (974 nucleotides) under Urocolius macrourus. Its description in RNAcentral is "12S ribosomal RNA". It matches the Rfam family "Bacterial small subunit ribosomal RNA". Lineage: Eukaryota; Metazoa; Chordata; Aves; Coliiformes; Coliidae. The record is from RNAcentral.
AAAGACUUAGUCCUAACCUUGCAGUUAGUUCUUACCAAGUAUAUACAUGCAAGUAUCCGCGCCCCAGUGUAAAUGCCCUAACCUCUUUGCUAAAGAUAAAGGAGCUGGUAUCAGGCACACCCACCGUAGUAGCCCACAACACCUUGCUUCGCCACACCCACACGGGCUUUCAGCAGUAAUUGACAUUAAGCAAUAAGUGUAAACUUGACUUAGCCAUGGUAAAACCAAGGGUCGGUAAAUCUUGUGCCAGCCACCGCGGUCAUACAAGAGACCCAAAUUAACUGCACCCGGCGUAAAGAGUGGUACAAUGGUAUCAUAACAACUAAGACUGAAACACAACCAAGCCGUCAUAAGCUAAAGUUGAAUUUAAAACCAUCCUAAAAAUGGUCCUAGUAUAUUAGAUUAACUUAACACCACGAAAGCUAAGACACAAACUGGGAUUAGAUACCCCACUAUGCCUAGCCAUAAAUCCAGAUUCUUCCUCCACUAAAGAAUCCGCCCGAGAACUACGAGCACAAACGCUUAAAACUCUAAGGACUUGGCGGUGCCCCAAACCCACCUAGAGGAGCCUGUUCUGUAAUCGAUAACCCACGAUCCACCUAACCACUUCUUGCCCAAACAGCCUACAUACCGCCGUCCCCAGCUCGCCUUAACUGAAAGCACAACAGCAAGCACAACAGCCACAACCCACGCUAGUAAGACAGGUCAAGGUAUAGCCUAUGAAGUGGAAGAAAUGGGCUACAUUUUCUAACCAUAGAACAUUCACGAAAAGAGGAGUGAAACCCUCCCCUAGAAGGCGGAUUUAGCAGUAAAGAGAGACAAUUAAACUUCCUUUAAGACGGCCCUGGGGCACGUACAUACCGCCCGUCACCCUCCUCACACACUACCCACCAACAAUACAUAAUACAAGUAUCAACCACAAGACGAGGUAAGUCGUAACAAGGUAAGUGUACUGGAAAGUGCACUUAGCACAC